RNAcentral lists this ribosomal RNA (253 nucleotides) under uncultured bacterium. RNAcentral describes it as "partial 16S ribosomal RNA". It matches the Rfam family "Bacterial small subunit ribosomal RNA", at positions 524 to 776 of the family's 1533-position model. The record is from RNAcentral.
UACGGAGGGAGCUAGCGUUGUUCGGAAUUACUGGGCGUAAAGCGCACGUAGGCGGCUUUGUAAAUUAGAGGUGAAAGCCCGGGGCUCAACUCCGGAAUUGCCUUUAAGACUGCAUCGCUUGAAUCCGGGAGAGGUGAGUGGAAUUCCGAGUGUAGAGGUGAAAUUCGUAGAUAUUCGGAAGAACACCAGUGGCGAAGGCGGCUCACUGGACCGGUAUUGACGCUGAGGUGCGAAAGCGUGGGGAGCAAACAGG